This 506-nucleotide ribosomal RNA is filed under the name uncultured bacterium. RNAcentral describes it as "partial 16S ribosomal RNA". It matches the Rfam family "Bacterial small subunit ribosomal RNA", at positions 28 to 523 of the family's 1533-position model. The record is from RNAcentral.
GAUGAACGCUAGCUACAGGCUUAACACGUGCAAGUCGAGGGGUAACGAGAGGAAAGCUUGCUUUCCUUGUCGACGACCGGCGCACGGGUGAGUAACGCGUAUCCAACCUGCCCCCAACUAAGGAAUAACCUUGCGAAAGUAAGACUAAUACCUUAUAAUUUCCUCAGAUGUCAUCUGACGAGGAAUAAAGAUUUAUCGGUUGUGGAUGGGGAUGCGUCUGAUUAGCUUGUUGGCGGGGUAACGGCCCACCAAGGCAACGAUCAGUAGGGGUUCUGAGAGGAAGGUCCCCCACAUUGGAACUGGGACACGGUCCAAACUCCUACGGGAGGCAGCAGUGAGGAAUAUUGGUCAAUGGGCGAAAGCCUGAACCAGCCAAGUAGCGUGCAGGAUGACGGCCCUAUGGGUUGUAAACUGCUUUUAUACAGGAAUAAAGUUAGCCACGUGUGGUUAUUUGUAGGUACUGUAUGAAUAAGGACCGGCUAAUUCCGUGCCAGCAGCCGCCGUAA